GGAGAGUUGGCUGAGUGGUCGAAAGCGCCUCACUGCUAACGAGGUAAGGUGUAAAAGCCUUCAAGGGUUCGAAUCCCUUACUCUCCG
Molecule: transfer RNA, 87 nt
Filed under: Candidatus Kaiserbacteria bacterium
Lineage: Bacteria; Candidatus Kaiseribacteriota
Description: tRNA-Ser
Rfam family: tRNA
About the family: Transfer RNA (tRNA) molecules are approximately 80 nucleotides in length. Their secondary structure includes four short double-helical elements and three loops (D, anti-codon, and T loops).
Source: RNAcentral